This 69-nucleotide transfer RNA is filed under the name Camelus bactrianus (Bactrian camel). It matches the Rfam family "tRNA". From Rfam's summary of the family: Transfer RNA (tRNA) molecules are approximately 80 nucleotides in length. The record is from Rfam by way of RNAcentral. Lineage: Eukaryota; Metazoa; Chordata; Mammalia; Artiodactyla; Camelidae. RNAcentral also lists the same sequence under 2 other names.
GUAAAUACAGUUAGACAAAAACAUUAGAUUAUGAAUCUAACAAUAGAAGCUCAAAUCUUCUCAUUUACC